CACCGCCCGUCACACUAUGGGAGUUUACUGCACCAGAAGCAGGUAGCCUAACCGCAAGGAUGGCGCCUACCACGGUGUGGUACAAUGACUGGGGUG
RNAcentral lists this ribosomal RNA (96 nucleotides) under uncultured bacterium. RNAcentral's name for it is "partial 16S ribosomal RNA". It matches the Rfam family "Bacterial small subunit ribosomal RNA", at positions 1388 to 1482 of the family's 1533-position model. The record is from RNAcentral.